UUUUUCCUUCGCUACUACCCGAAUGGAAUUGGCCUCAGGGGGAAGNCUUCCGCGAAAUGUGGGUUUAAGGAAAGAGGGGGGCCAAACCUUACAUUUCCUGGGAACCGGAAGAAGGCGUGGUUCCAAACCUGGUUCCAAUUUAAGGGGGAAGUAAAAGUUGGUAACCAAGGUUUCCGGUAGGGGAACCUGGGGGAAGAAUCAUUACUUAAUUGGCUUUAAUGGCCCAACAAGGGGUUUUUCUUUGUGAAACCAAACUGGUUUGGGCGGGGGGGCCCCGGCCCGGCCGGCCCAGGGUUUUAAACCUAACAACCCAAUUUUUAAUCAACUGGUUAAAACCAGAAUAAUAAUUAAUAGUCAAAACUUUCAACAACGGAUCUCUUGGUUCUCGCAUCGAUGAAGAACGCAGCGAAAUGCGAUACGUAAUAUGAAUUGCAGAUAUUCGUGAAUCAUCGAAUCUUUGAACGCACAUUGCGCCCUCUGGUAUUCCGGAGGGCAUGCCUGUUUGAGCGUCGUUUCUCCCUCAAACCGCUGGGUUUGGUGUUGAGCAAUACGACUUGGGUUUGCUUGAAAGACGGUAGUGGUAAGGCGGGAUCGCUUUGACAAUGGCUUAGGUCUAACCAAAAACAUUGCUUGCGGCGGUAACGUCCUACCACGUAUAUCUUCAAACUUGACCUCUUAUCAGGUACUCUC
RNAcentral lists this unclassified non-coding RNA (690 nucleotides) under Candida albicans. Its description in RNAcentral is "sequence contains 18S rRNA gene, ITS1, 5.8S rRNA gene, ITS2, 28S rRNA gene". The stretch from base 359 to 512 matches the Rfam family "5.8S ribosomal RNA". Lineage: Eukaryota; Fungi; Ascomycota; Pichiomycetes; Serinales; Debaryomycetaceae. The record is from RNAcentral.